This 332-nucleotide ribosomal RNA is filed under the name uncultured eukaryote. RNAcentral describes it as "partial 18S ribosomal RNA". It matches the Rfam family "Eukaryotic small subunit ribosomal RNA", at positions 1470 to 1796 of the family's 1831-position model. The record is from RNAcentral.
CCCUUAGAUGUUCUGGGCUGCACGCGCGCUACACUGUCGGAUUCAGCGAGUCAUAUCCUUAACCGAAAGGUUUGGGUAAUCUUUUGAAAGUCCGACGUGAUGGGGGUUGAUCAUUGCAAUUAUUGAUCAUGAACGAGGAAUUCCUAGUAAGCGCGAGUCAUCAGCUCGCGUUGAUUACGUCCCUGCCCUUUGUACACACCGCCCGUCGCUACUACCGAUUGAAUGGUUUAGUGAGAUCUUCGGAUUGGUGCCUACGCGGCUUCUCUGAGGCCACGCUGGAUGCCGAAAAGUUGCUCAAACUGUAUCAUUUAGAGGAAGUAAAAGUCGUAACA